RNAcentral lists this ribosomal RNA (301 nucleotides) under uncultured bacterium. RNAcentral's name for it is "partial 16S ribosomal RNA". It matches the Rfam family "Bacterial small subunit ribosomal RNA", at positions 509 to 807 of the family's 1533-position model. The record is from RNAcentral.
CAGUCGCCACGGUAAUACGGAGGGGGCUAGCGUUGUUCGGAAUUACUGGGCGUAAAGCGCACGUAGGCGGCUUGGUAAGUUAGAGGUGAAAGCCUGGAGCUCAACUCCAGAAUUGCCUUUAAGACUGCCGAGCUAGCAGGUGAGAGAGGUAAGUGGAAUUCCGAGUGUAGAGGUGAAAUUCGUAGAUAUUCGGAAGAACACCAGUGGCGAAGGCGGCUUACUGGCUCAUACUGGACGCUGAGGUGCGAAAGCGUGGGGAGCAAACAGGAUUAGAUACCCCCGUAGUCCCUGUCUCUUAUAC